UGGGGCGUAGCCAAGUGGUAAGGCACGGGGUUUUGGUCCCCGCACGCGCAGGUUCGAACCCUGCCGCCCCAG
Natranaerobius trueperi is the source of this 72-nucleotide transfer RNA. It matches the Rfam family "tRNA". From Rfam's summary of the family: Transfer RNA (tRNA) molecules are approximately 80 nucleotides in length. Their secondary structure includes four short double-helical elements and three loops (D, anti-codon, and T loops). Lineage: Bacteria; Bacillati; Bacillota; Clostridia; Natranaerobiales; Natranaerobiaceae. The record is from Rfam.